GCCCACGUAGGACCCCUCUCACUCACACUCACUCUCUCGCUCGCUCUCCGCACACACCCGUGGUGUCCCCUUGGCUGUCGCCCUCUUUCUUUUUCUCUUCCCGCUGACAGCAGAAUGGCGUCCGAGUACACCGCCGCGCCUCGCGAGUCCUUCACACUGCCUCGCCAGGAGUCCAAGUUCACUGUGUCCGCGGUGGAGCACAUCAUCAAGGAUGUUUGCGAAUACAUGGUUGGCCCGGAGCGGCCGUACGUCUACGAGGAGGCACAGCCGCUCAUCAAAGACUUGUGUGCUGAGAUCCAGCAACGGACUGUGCGUCUCGGCUACGAGCGGUACAAGCUGGUAACCCAUGCGACGGUGACGGAGGCCGCCAGCCAAGGCAUGCGCGUUGCCUCGCGUUGCCUGUGGGACCCAGAGACGGACAACUACGCGACCUACACGUACUCGAACCAGUACAUGCACGUCACCGUUGUUGUCUUCGGCGUUUACUGGGAGUAAAGAGAGGACGAGAAGCAAGCGAAGUGGGGGUCGGGGGGUGAGGUGAGAGACUGACGCGAGGGCACAUCGAUGAGACACCGGCAGGGCGGCGGGGAAGGAGAAAAGCUAUCAAAAGGAGCCUCGAGAUGUGAUCGCCGUGCGUGUGCUCAUGUUCAACGCACAUGCGCGCACGUCACGCGAGCUCCUCUGCCCAGUGCUCCUCCCUCCCCUCUCCUUCUCCAUUUUCUCCAGUUGCCUGUCCUUUGCGUCUCCCACUCGCCUUGUACCCCCCCCCCGUUCACUUCGAGGCAGGAGGAACGCGUUGUACUCCUGCGGCGUAUGCCGCUGAUGCUGCUGCGCGCAAGUCGUGCUCUGUUUUGUGACGACUGUUGGCGCUUCUGUUGAGCAGAGGCGGUGAAAGGGAUUGCUGUGUGUGCGUGUGUACGUGUGCCUGUGGGUCUCUAUGUGUGCUCACCAACUGCAGCACCCAGCCGAUAGGCUGCGAGCGUGGCUGCAGGGUGCGAUAGCCAACGGUGCGCUCUUCUGAUGUACAAGAGAACUCGAGAGCCGUUUCGCACCGAGACAAGAGAGACAGAAAGCGAGGUUACAUGUGCCUCUGUGGGCAGGGGAAGGUGCAGUGCCGCCAGCUGCCUCAUCCGCGCCGCUGCUGUGCCGUUUCUUUUCUUACUCGGGGGCAAACAGACGCACGCGUGUGCGUAGUUGAGAGUUGGCGAGUGGGACGCACGCCCCGAAACAGUGUGGCACGUGGCGACCACAAUACGGAAGACUGCAUGCGUCUGUGUCUCAAUACUGCGUUGCGGGCACCGCCUACUCUGCCCCCUUUUUUGUUGGUACUUGGGAAUGCUGAACCGUCUUGAUGCAACGCCUCCCUUUCUCUCUCCCUUCUUGCGCUCCCUCUCUGUUGUAUAACGCACAACAACACCUCACACAUCCCUACAACUAUAACAAAAAUAAUAAUCGAACGACGACACGCACGCACAUGUGCUGACAG
Molecule: unclassified non-coding RNA, 1486 nt
Filed under: Leishmania donovani
Lineage: Eukaryota; Euglenozoa; Kinetoplastea; Trypanosomatida; Trypanosomatidae
Description: gene:LdHU3.28.1250(CDS-product:Tctex-1_family_put ative)
Source: RNAcentral